Molecule: ribosomal RNA, 486 nt
Filed under: uncultured bacterium
Lineage: Bacteria
Description: partial 16S ribosomal RNA
Rfam family: Bacterial small subunit ribosomal RNA
Source: RNAcentral
AUUGAACGCUGGCGGCAUGCCUUACACAUGCAAGUCGAACGGCAGCACGGGUGCUUGCACCUGGUGGCGAGUGGCGAACGGGUGAGUAAUACAUCGGAACAUGUCCUGUAGUGGGGGAUAGCCCGGCGAAAGCCGGAUUAAUACCGCAUACGAUCCACGGAUGAAAGCGGGGGACCUUCGGGCCUCGCGCUAUAGGGUUGGCCGAUGGCUGAUUAGCUAGUUGGUGGGGUAAAGGCCUACCAAGGCGACGAUCAGUAGCUGGUCUGAGAGGACGACCAGCCACACUGGGACUGAGACACGGCCCAGACUCCUACGGGAGGCAGCAGUGGGGAAUUUUGGACAAUGGGCGAAAGCCUGAUCCAGCAAUGCCGCGUGUGUGAAGAAGGCCUUCGGGUUGUAAAGCACUUUUGUCCGGAAAGAAAUCCUUGACUCUAAUACAGUCGGGGGAUGACGGUACCGGAAGAAUAGGCACCGGCUAACUACGUG